AUCGAACGCUGGCGGCAGGCUUAACACAUGCAAGUCGAGCGAGCGGCGGACGGGUGGGUAAUGUAUGGGGACUGCCCGAUAGAGGGGGCUAACUACUGGAAACGGUGGCUAAUACCGCAUCCUAUCGGAUAACCCAUAUGGGAUUAGCUGGUAGGUGGGGUAAAGGCUCACCUGGGCCACGAUCCCUAGCUGGUCUGAGAGGAUGCUAGGCCACACUGGGACUGAGACACGUACCAGACUCCUACGGAGGCAGCAGUGUGGAAUAUUGGGCAAUGGGCGAAAGCCUGAUGCAGCCAUGCCGCGUGUGUGAAGAAGACGUUAGGGUUGUAAAGUACUGUCAGCGGGGAGGCGUUACCGGCAGAAGAAGCACCGGCUAACUCCGUGCCAGCAGCCGCGGUAAUAC
This 403-nucleotide ribosomal RNA is filed under the name uncultured bacterium. Its description in RNAcentral is "partial 16S ribosomal RNA". It matches the Rfam family "Bacterial small subunit ribosomal RNA", at positions 30 to 526 of the family's 1533-position model. The record is from RNAcentral.